RNA transcript from Pistacia vera, 2451 nucleotides. It is a transcript of the gene named DEAD-box ATP-dependent RNA helicase 30-like, with no coding region annotated. The transcript has 9 exons. NCBI's taxonomy places the organism in Eukaryota, Viridiplantae, Streptophyta, Magnoliopsida, Sapindales, Anacardiaceae. The record is from RefSeq and is a predicted model, not a curated record.
GUUUAAGGGUGGGCUUCCACUACCUAAUGGGCUUUUUCAGCCCAUUAUCCUUCAGACCCAGCCCAAGUAAAAGCUAUUGCCGCGUGUGUCUAUUUAUUCACAGAUAUUUUCCCUCCCAAGAGGAAUUAACGCGCACCUUCCCUUCAUCCUCAAGCGCUUCGAAGAACAGCGCAAGAGGCAAAGUAUUUUUUUUUUUUUAUUCUUUUUUGAGAAGUUCGUCAACCACAGUUAGUUUACGAUGAAUCCGUACGAUCACAGAUAUGCCGACCCCAACUCUUACCGACAACGGCGUAGCGAUUUAAUGGGCCCACCACCUCAAAUUGGGCCAAUGGGCCGGGACGGGCCUUCUACGUACGGGGGUCCUCCGCCGGCAGCUGGUUUUUCUGGAAAAGGUCCUGGAGUUGCUGGCGGAUCCGUUUCCGGUGUGUAUCAACCAGUCGGUAGAUUCGAUGUUGGUCGUGGCGGCGGUGGAAGGGGAUUUAGUAGUAGUAGAGGCCAUAGUUCAGAUAGAAGAGGCGGUGGACGUGGUCGUGACAGUGGAGGGAGAGGCUUUGACUCGGGCCGCGGUGGUGGUAGAGCUGGUGGAGCUCGUGGAAGAGGAGGUAGACAUGGUGGUGGUUCUUAUCGGGAUGACUUGGAUAAUAUUUCGCUUCCGAAACAAGAUUUCGGAAAUUUAGUUCCUUUUGAGAAGAACUUCUAUGUUGAAAGCCCUUCUGUACGUGCGAUGACGGAAACGGAGGUUAAGAUGUAUCGUGCUAGGAGGGAGAUUACCAUUGAAGGUCAUGAUGUUCCUAGGCCGAUUCGGAUGUUUCACGAGGCGAAUUUCCCUGAUUACUGCCUAGAGGUCAUUGCAAAAUUAGGAUUUGUUGAGCCAACGGCCAUUCAGGCUCAGGGUUGGCCUAUGGCUUUGAAGGGUAGAGAUUUAGUUGGCAUUGCAGAGACUGGUUCGGGCAAAACUUUGUCAUAUCUGUUACCUGCUUUGGUUCAUGUCAGUGCUCAGCCAAGAUUGGUUCAAGGUGAAGGUCCUAUUGUGUUAGUAUUAGCACCUACUAGAGAAUUAGCUGUUCAAAUACAAGAAGAAGCUCUGAAAUUUGGGUUACGGGCAGGUAUUAGAAGUACUUGCAUCUAUGGUGGUGCUCCUAAAGGGCCACAAAUUCGUGAUCUUCGAAGAGGUGUUGAAAUUGUCAUUGCAACCCCUGGUCGACUGAUAGAUAUGUUGGAUGCUCAACACACAAACUUGCGAAGAGUGACUUACCUUGUGUUGGAUGAGGCUGAUCGGAUGUUGGACAUGGGAUUUGAGCCUCAGAUAAGGAAAAUUGUUGCUCAGAUCCGACCUGAUAGGCAGACUUUGUAUUGGAGUGCUACAUGGCCAAGGGAGGUUGAAACUCUAGCAAGGCAGUUUCUGCGCAAUCCAUACAAGGUAAUCAUUGGAUCAACAGAUCUAAAAGCGAACCAAUCUAUAAAUCAAGUUGUUGAAGUUCUGACAGAGUCAGAGAAGUACAACAGGCUGAUCAAACUACUGAAAGAAGCGAUGGAUGGGAAUCGAAUUCUAAUAUUCACAGAAACCAAAAAGGGGUGUGACCAAAUUACAAGACAACUAAGAAUGGAUGGAUGGCCGGCUCUGUCCAUUCAUGGUGAUAAAAACCAGGCUGAAAGGGAUUGGGUUCUCGCUGAAUUUAGAAGUGGAAGAAGUCCUAUAAUGACUGCUACUGAUGUUGCUGCACGGGGUCUUGGUAGGAUCACUGUGUUUUAGGAGUUUUAGGUCUAAUCUUUUAGGUCUUGAAAGCGAGUUGCCGGGCUGUCCAAUUUCCUAGGAAUAUAAUUUGUGGUCUGGGUGCAAAGAGGCAUGCCAUCAUCCUAAUGGCUCUUGAUUGUUUUUUAUUAACCCAUAAGCAUGAUCCUUUACUUCAAGGAAUUUACAGGUUGGAUGAGAGUCAUUUUGGUUUCUCUUAUUUACUAGAAUAUCCUGUAAAAUAUCUCUUUGGGUACUACCUUAUUCUUGCAGCUCCUGUUACAUGGACACGUGGUGCAUAUUAUAGUAAUAUUACUGAGUGAUAGACUAAGAUUUCAUGAAGAGUUAUGGCAUAAUAUUAUGCAGACCACUGCAGUCUGUCGGGGAAUUUUUUUUUUUUUCUGUUUUAGUGUGAGGGAUACAAUAUUGUCAAAAGCUGGCUCACAUGCGGUUAUAUUCUUUGCGCAAGUUGCCUGAAAUGCCAUGGCUCCUUCCAUCACGUGUCUUAAGUAACAUAUUUGAAGUUAUUGUUGCCCAUCCACGGUUAUGUAGCUGGUUUUUUUGUGGCAGCCUGGUUGACUCACAUGUGCUUAUACGUUUAUUGGAAAAUGGUGGUGUUGAAGCUGUUCCUUAUCCCUGCAAGGUUAAGAUGUGAAGGAUAUAAAAUGUGUGGUCAAUUAUGAUUUUCCAUCCAGCCUUGAGGAUUAUGUUCACCGGAU